Molecule: ribosomal RNA, 464 nt
Filed under: uncultured bacterium
Lineage: Bacteria
Description: partial 16S ribosomal RNA
Rfam family: Bacterial small subunit ribosomal RNA
Source: RNAcentral
GACGAACGCUGGCGGCGUGCUUAACACAUGCAAGUCGAGCGAGGCCCCUCCUUCGGGAGGGUGUCCUAGCGGCGAACGGGUGAGUAACACGUGGGCAACCUGCCCUCAGCUCUGGGAUAACUCCGGGAAACCGGGGCUAAUACCGGAUACGACCUCCACGGCAAUCUGCGGAGGGGGAAGGUUUUCGGCUGAGGAUGGGCCCGCGGCCUAUCAGCUAGUUGGUGGGGUAGUGGCCCACCAAGGCGACGACGGGUAGCCGGCCUGAGAGGGCGACCGGCCACACUGGGACUGAGACACGGCCCAGACUCCUACGGGAGGCAGCAGUGGGGAAUAUUGCGCAAUGGGCGAAAGCCUGACGCAGCGACGCCGCGUGAGGGACGAAGGCCUUCGGGUUGUAAACCUCUUUCAGCAGGGACGAAGCGAAAGUGACGGUACCUGCAGAAGAAGCACCGGCCAACUACGUG